Molecule: RNA transcript, 1902 nt
Organism: Apis dorsata (giant honeybee)
Lineage: Eukaryota; Metazoa; Arthropoda; Insecta; Hymenoptera; Apidae
Gene name: syntaxin-1A
Exons: 11
Source: RefSeq, a predicted model, not a curated record
UUCGGUCCUGAAUAUAGUUGACGUCACCGGCGCAUGCGUAGCACACCGGACGGCACUGCAGAAGCAGGCGAGUUCGCGAGUGUAUCGAUUUUACGAUCGUGUCUCUCGCCGCUAGUGCGUCCGUUUCCUUUAGUUUUUAGUGGUCGUGCUCAUAGUACAUGGAUAAAAUCGUGAAUGGGAUUAGUCGCUAGUCUCAUCACUCCGUACAUUUGCUGACUCGCAACACUUUGUCACCCUCGCCAUGACUAAGGAUAGAUUAGCAGCUCUUGUUGCGGCCCAGUCGGACGAUGAUGACGUGGCGGACGAUGUGUCCGUCAAUGUUGGCGGGCCCGAUGAUUUUAUGACCGAGUUUUUCGCGGAAGUGGAGGAAAUCCGCGAAAUGAUAGACAGGAUCCAAACGAACGUAGAGGAUGUGAAGAAAAAGCAUAGUGCCAUUUUGUCGGCACCUCAAACCGACGAAAAGGUUAAAAUGGAAUUGGAAGACCUGAUGUCCGAUAUCAAGAAAACGGCGAAUAAAGUGAGGGCUAAAUUGAAGGUUAUAGAGCAAAAUAUCGAGCAGGAGGAGCACACGAACAAAUCAUCGGCGGAUCUUAGGAUACGGAAGACACAGCACUCGACUCUUUCGAGGAAGUUCGUCGAGGUGAUGACGGAGUACAAUCGGACCCAGACCGAUUACAGAGAGCGGUGUAAGGGAAGGAUACAACGACAGUUGGAAAUCACCGGUAGGACGACCACUAACGAGGAGCUGGAGGAAAUGCUGGAACAGGGGAAUCCGGCUGUGUUCACGCAGGGGAUUAUCAUGGAAACGCAACAAGCGAAACAGACUCUCGCCGAUAUCGAGGCACGCCACGCAGACAUCAUUAAACUAGAAAACUCCAUCAGGGAGCUUCACGAUAUGUUCAUGGAUAUGGCGAUGUUGGUGGAAAGUCAGGGUGAGUNNGUGGACCGCAUCGAGUACCUCGUCGAUCAAACCGGCGACCACGUUGUCCAGGCCCGGGGAGAGCUGAUCAAGGCCGAGGAGUAUCGGAGCAAAGCUCGUAAGAAAAUGAUCUUCAUCAUAAUCUGCGUCUUGAUAUUGGCCGUGAUAUUGAUCUCCAUAAUAAUAGCAUGCGUUCCUAGAAGCUAAAGGUUUGAAGAAGCGCGCGCUUAGGGGUGGUGGGAAGGGGCAUGCGAUGAUAAUGGGGGAAUGGACGCGAUGUUCGAUCGAAGGGAGGAAAAAAAAGAAAAGAAAACUAAAGAAAAAAAAAAGGAAGAGAAUGGAUCUCGAGAUCGAUCGAAAAAUCAAGGACGAUGAUAGAAACGCGCGGGGGAACGAUCGAAGAGAAAUUGAUGUUCAUCGUAAUUUGCCUGACAAUAGCGUUCAUCAUUCUCAUAAUCAUUCUGGUAUACGCAUUAAAAAGAUAGAUCGGCGAUAUUCGAGGAUUUCAGGUGAAAAGCGGUGAAAAGGAUGAACGCUGUGAAAAGUGUGGAUGGACCACGAGGGGAAAAAAGUAAAACUAGUGGAACUUUCUGGAGACGCGAGCUGCGGCGUUUUCAUUGCUCCUCCUCCUCGUCCUCCUUUCCCUUCUCCCAUCUCCACUCGCUUCCCUCCAAGAGCGAAAACGCCGAGGCUGCGUUUCGUAUUUUCAGUGAAAUACUCUCGCGAAUCCGUUUCUCCGGAAAUCGCGUGCAUUCGCCGUCCGUUCGCCGUUUCGCUUCUUUUUCUUGUUCGAAAAAACGACCGAAAGAUAAAGACGAAAUCGCGAAUCGAAAGAGGAUAGAUAGAUAGAUAGCGUGGUGGUCGGUAUCCUCCCCCCCCGAAUUCGAAUUUCCCCCAAUCGCGCGCGACGCGAUAUCGCGAGCAAAUUGUAAAUAAUAAAUAAUAGGUAAAAACGUGUUUGUAUGAUGAAAAAAGUAUAUAUA